This 237-nucleotide ribosomal RNA is filed under the name Escherichia coli. Its description in RNAcentral is "partial 23S ribosomal RNA". It matches the Rfam family "Bacterial large subunit ribosomal RNA", at positions 756 to 990 of the family's 2925-position model. The record is from RNAcentral. Lineage: Bacteria; Pseudomonadati; Pseudomonadota; Gammaproteobacteria; Enterobacterales; Enterobacteriaceae.
GUAAGACGUCGUGGAGGACCGAACCCACUUAGGUUGAAAACUGAGGGGAUGAGCUGUGGGUAGGGGUGAAAGGCCAAUCAAACUCCGUGAUAGCUGGUUCUCCCCGAAAUGCAUUUAGGUGCAGCGUCGCGUGUUUCUCACCGGAGGUAGAGCUACUGGAUGGUCUAGGGGGCCCACAAGCUUACCGAAAUCAGCCAAACUCCGAAUGCCGGUGAGUGAGAGCGCGGCAGUGAGACU